Non-coding RNA from Plasmodium reichenowi, 246 nucleotides. Lineage: Eukaryota; Apicomplexa; Aconoidasida; Haemosporida; Plasmodiidae. The record is from RefSeq and is a predicted model, not a curated record.
UAUAUUUAUGUGUAUGAUUUAUAUGCUGAUUCCUUUUUUUUCUUUUUCUUCUUCUUUUUCUUCUUUUUUUUUGUGAUACAUUUUUGUUUUGUUGUUGAUCCUAUAUCUCAUUAUCUUGUUCAUUUAAAAAAAAAAAACGUUAAUACUGUAAAUAUAUUAUAAAGUUAAAAAAUUCCAAAAGUAUACAUUCCCAUAUAAAACAUAUCCCAUAAAAAAAAAUAUAUAUAUGUAAUAUAUAUAUAUAUA